GAUGAACGCUAGCGGCAGGCCUAACACAUGCAAGUCGAGGGGUAACAUUGUGCUUGCACAGAUGACGACCGGCGCACGGGUGCGUAACGCGUAUGCAAUCUACCUUUUACAGUGGGAUAGCCCAGAGAAAUUUGGAUUAAUACCAUAUAGUUUAUUAGAGUGGCAUCACUUUAAUAAUAAAGAUUUAUCGGUAAAAGAUGAGCAUGCGUUCUAUUAGUUAGUUGGUGAGGUAACGGCUUACCAAGACAGCGAUAGAUAGGGGCCCUGAGAGGGGGAUCCCCCACACUGGUACUGAGACACGGACCAGACUCCUACGGGAGGCAGCAGUGAGGAAUAUUGGACAAUGGGCGAGAGCCUGAUCCAGCCAUGCCGCGUGCAGGAAGACUGCCCUAUGGGUUGUAAACUGCUUUUAUACAGGAAGAAACACUGCUACGUGUAGCAGCUUGACGGUACUGUAAGAAUAAGGAUCGGCUAACUCCGUGCCAGCAGCCGCGGUAAUACGGAGGAUCCAAGCGUUAUCCGGAAUCAUUGGGUUUAAAGGGUCCGUAGGUGGAUAAUUAAGUCAGGGGUGAAAUCUUGCAGCUCAACUGUAAAAUUGCCUUUGAUACUGGUUAUCUUGAGUUAUUAUGAAGUAGUUAGAAUAUGUAGUGUAGCGGUGAAAUGCAUAGAUAUUACAUAGAAUACCAAUUGCGAAGGCAGAUUACUAAUAAUCAACUGACACUGAUGAACCG
Molecule: ribosomal RNA, 731 nt
Filed under: bacterium IMCC11125
Lineage: Bacteria
Description: bacterial SSU rRNA
Rfam family: Bacterial small subunit ribosomal RNA
Source: RNAcentral